Molecule: ribosomal RNA, 468 nt
Filed under: uncultured bacterium
Lineage: Bacteria
Description: partial 16S ribosomal RNA
Rfam family: Bacterial small subunit ribosomal RNA
Source: RNAcentral
AACGAACGCUGGCGGCGUGCCUAACACAUGCAAGUCGAGCGAUCUUCUUCGGAAGAGAGCGGCGGACGGGUGAGGAACGCGUGGGUAACCUGCCCUGUACACACGGAUAACAUACCGAAAGGUAUGCUAAUACGAGAUAAUAUGCUUUUAUCGCAUGGUAGAAGUAUCAAAGCUCCGGCGGUACAGGAUGGACCCGCGUCUGAUUAGCUAGUUGGUAAGGUAACGGCUUACCAAGGCGACGAUCAGUAGCCGACCUGAGAGGGUGAUCGGCCACAUUGGAACUGAGACACGGUCCAAACUCCUACGGGAGGCAGCAGUGGGGAAUAUUGCACAAUGGGCGAAAGCCUGAUGCAGCAACGCCGCGUGAGCGAUGAAGGCCUUCGGGUCGUAAAGCUCUGUCCUCAAGGAAGAUAAUGACGGUACUUGAGGAGGAAGCCCCGGCUAACUACGUGCCAGCCGCCGCGGUAA